GGUUGAUCCUGCCAGUAGUCAUAUGCUUGUCUCAAAGACUAAGCCAUGCAUGUCUAAGUAUAAACACCUUUAUACUGCGAAACUGCGAACGGCUCAUUAUAUCAGUUAUAAUCUACUUGAUCGUAUCCUCUUACUUGGAUAACCGUAGUAAUUCUAGAGCUAAUACAUGCAAAAGUUCCCGACUGGUGACGGAAGGGAAGUAUUUAUUAGGUCCAAAAUCAAUGCUGGCCAUUCCAAACUGGGUGGGUCAAACUGCCUGGGGUCAGGAAAGUUGAUGAUUCAUAAUAACUAAA
Molecule: ribosomal RNA, 293 nt
Filed under: uncultured eukaryote
Lineage: Eukaryota
Description: partial 18S ribosomal RNA
Rfam family: Eukaryotic small subunit ribosomal RNA
Source: RNAcentral